AUCCAGAUGAUGAGUCCAAAAAUGGGACGAAAUGGGCAUCCUGGAU
RNAcentral lists this non-coding RNA (46 nucleotides) under Trichobilharzia regenti. Lineage: Eukaryota; Metazoa; Platyhelminthes; Trematoda; Strigeidida; Schistosomatidae. The record is from RNAcentral.